UACGGGGGGGGCAAGCGUUGUUCGGAAUUACUGGGCGUAAAGGGUUCGUAGGUGGCCUGCUAAGUCAGACGUGAAAUCCCUCAGCUUAACUGGGGAACUGCGUCUGAGACUGGGAGGCUUGAGUGCAGGAGAGGAACGCGGAAUUCCAGGUGUAGCGGUGAAAUGCGUAGAUAUCUGGAGGAACACCGGUGGCGAAGGCGGCAUCCUGGACCGAGAUUGACGCUGAGGCGCGAAAGCCAGGGGAGCAAACGGG
RNAcentral lists this ribosomal RNA (253 nucleotides) under uncultured bacterium. Its description in RNAcentral is "partial 16S ribosomal RNA". It matches the Rfam family "Bacterial small subunit ribosomal RNA", at positions 524 to 776 of the family's 1533-position model. The record is from RNAcentral.